This 851-nucleotide long non-coding RNA is filed under the name Homo sapiens (human). RNAcentral's name for it is "long intergenic non-protein coding RNA 1359". Lineage: Eukaryota; Metazoa; Chordata; Mammalia; Primates; Hominidae. The record is from RNAcentral.
ACUUGCUUGUAGUCAAACAGAAGGCAGAGCUGCGAAUCAAAUCCAGGUUUGUCUCGACAUGCCACUAGCUCAUACUUCCCUUGGAUCAGCCACUAAAUGGCUUUCACUCCAGUGAGCAGCGACCAGCACCAGAAUUAUGGAACAUUUAUCAACAGCCUAAAAUAAAGACAACACGAGGAGAAUUUGGUUGCUUAUAUAGAUUCAAGGUACAAUCCUGCUGGAUUCUGGAAGAAGAAAUAUCACAGUGUGCAUGCACAGAAGUACGACCAUGUGAAGAGGUAGCAAGAGAGCAGCAAUCUACAAGCCAAGGAAAGAGGCCACAGAGGAAACCAACCCUGCCAGCAUCUUGAUCUUGGACUUCCAGCUUCCAGAACUGCCUUGUUCUUCUACCUUAUGAUGAUUCAAGCAAUGCCUGCUGCUUUUCCAAUCUGGGUUAGUUCAGAGUUAGGCAAACAGAGAACCAGGGACCCCACUCCCAUGCCGACAGUAUGGGCUGCUGUCUUCAGGACCAUUGCAAGUGUCCUUCACGGUUCGGUUCACAUUUCACAAGCCCCAUGAAGUCUAUCUGGAUUUUCGAUGGAUGUCUUGCCUUUUCCUCUACACACUACAGGAAGAGUGGCCACCCCUGCCAAGGGCCUAGUAUAGUACCCUAUACAUGUAGCUGAUCAGUUGAUUGUUACUGAUCAUAUGUAUCCUGCAUCAUGUUAUAAAAAAUUAACACAGUGCUUGGCACAUACUUGUACUGAAUGUCAGAGCUGCAGCAUGAUCUGGAGGCUUUCCUCGCUUUCUUCUGCUUCCCCUCCCUUGAUCCUUCACAGGCAUUUUCCUCAAUACAUCUCUUGCCUGGCUAA